Molecule: long non-coding RNA, 1777 nt
Filed under: Nicotiana benthamiana
Lineage: Eukaryota; Viridiplantae; Streptophyta; Magnoliopsida; Solanales; Solanaceae
Description: long non-coding RNA (NBEN_LNC034601)
Source: RNAcentral
UCAGGCUAUUCAUUCCUAGUGAGGAUGUGGAACUGGGCACUUGAUAAUCACAAUUGAGUAUAGAAUAUUCUUUAACUAAACAGAUAAUACUAGACAGUGACGUUUACAUGAGCCACUAACAAAUACAAUCUAAAAUACUUAAAAUCUGAGUGCACAGGCUAACAGUUCAAACAAAUGUUCCAAAAUACUGCCCGUAUCAGCUCAAUCUACUGCGAAAAUUGAAUUCUUCAGCAACUCGAAAGAGCAAAGUUACUAUGGCAGUAACAAGACAGACAAAACAUGGACAAAAGAGGGAAAAUAGAGCAACUAUGAGAAUACACAAUCAGCGAAACAAACUGGCCUCAACACCCCUUUAAACCAAGGCCAAAUAAAGUCAAACCCGUCAAGGAUGAACCAAACAUUGUCAUGGAACCCAAGUUAAAUCAGCUCAUGACUUGAACAAGUGAGGUCUACAUUAGAUGAUGCUUCAUAACAAAUACAAAUCACUAGCCUUUGCCAUUUGUAACAUGUCCUGAUAAGUGCAACUGAAUGAGCCACAAAGCAGCAGUAAAAAAAACUAAUUGGGUGACAAUUUCUUGAACUCGUAUCGAGUUAUAGAUGUAAAAGAAAUUAUGCAAUCGUCACUGAAUCGAUAAACAUAUGCAACACCUUAUCUAUCAACCACAGGCUCGAUCAAGCCUCCAUCAUUCCAACCAAAGUCAAACAAUUCCGUCCUCCAUCACUGUGUUAGAUGAAGACCAGAUCAUGCCUACAACAUCCAAUCGAUACAUAGCUAAGAAGUAAAACUGAAAAUGAAGAUAUAUAUCACAUUCUGAAAUUAAUCACGAUCUAAUCAUACCAUGUCAGGAAAUAAAUAGAAUACACUUUCAGAGAACUCAUUUAAGAUGUACACAGCCAAACCAAGCUAGAAAUGUGUAGGAAUGACAAAAAAAUACACUACGACCAGCAGUCACCAAGAUUCAAAUAGUUCUAAACCAGCUGAACUCAAAUUCUCAAUACACUUCUUAAUCAGCCACCAAAAUAGGCUACAUAGGACUAGAAAUAAACCUGAAUCGACAAGCACCUGCGAUUAAAUUUGCUCAAAUGUUGAAUACAAGUGAAAUCCAAUAACAAAUAUCAGCAACCAACAGCAGAGAUGAGUAAGAAUCAGAAGCUCGGACAGCGACGAACUUAACUAUUUUUAAUCGCCUCCAUAUUAAACGAACUCCAUCACAAGCGAGAUUAACCCAGAGAUGAUAUGCAAAGAAAUCAAUUUUUUUUUGUUUUUUCUCCUCUGAUUCUAACAAAAACAGACAAAAUUAAGCAUAAAAAGAAACUUGACUCAUUUUUUUGAGUAUUUUUCUGUAUUUUCCACGAGAAGAAACAAGGAAGAUGAGAAUCGAUCCCUUUUCUCUGAAAUCCUUUUUUUUAGCCCACCCCCUCAAAAUCCAUCUAAAAUUCCCUUUUGAGAACGAAUUCCUGAUGAAUGUGGGGCUUGGAUUGAGUGAAAUCAAUCCAAUGCCUCACACUCAUCCAGCAAAUCGUUCCCAGAAGCUUCCAAUCGCGUGCCUUAUCUCCAAAUCGAGCGAGUGAAGGGAAUGAGAAUAUUCGCAUCAGAAACGGAUAGAAAUGGUGAUGAGGAGAGAAUGAGGAACGCGUGAGGAGAGAUUUGAGACUCACUCGCUUGGUUUCGGGCUAAAUUGAGGCUUGGUUCAUGUUCUUCUUUGGAGAAGAAGAACAGUCGCCUGGGUCAGUGGUGAGAUUAGGGCUUUGCUCGUCCUUUUGCGUCUGAUAUUUG